CUUUAGUUGCCAGCGAGUAAUGUCGGGGACUCUAAAGAAACUGCCUACGCAAGUAGAGAGGAAGGCGGGGACGACGUCAAGUCAUCACGGCCCUUACGUCCUGGGCCACACACGUGCUACAAUGGCGGAGACAAAGAGUCGCAAACCUGCGAAGGCUAGCUAAUCUCAUAAACUUCGUCUAAGUUCGGAUUGUAGGCUGCAACUCGCCUACAUGAAGUUGGAAUCGCUAGUAAUCGUGGAUCAGCAUGCCACGGUGAAUACGUUCCCGGGCCUUGUACACACCGCCCGUCA
RNAcentral lists this ribosomal RNA (291 nucleotides) under Oxyrrhis marina. RNAcentral's name for it is "partial Bacterial small subunit ribosomal RNA". It matches the Rfam family "Bacterial small subunit ribosomal RNA", at positions 1109 to 1399 of the family's 1533-position model. The record is from RNAcentral. Lineage: Eukaryota; Dinophyceae; Oxyrrhinales; Oxyrrhinaceae.